Molecule: ribosomal RNA, 286 nt
Filed under: Blastocystis sp.
Lineage: Eukaryota; Bigyra; Opalinata; Blastocystidae
Description: partial small subunit ribosomal RNA
Rfam family: Eukaryotic small subunit ribosomal RNA
Source: RNAcentral
GAUUAAGCCAUGCAUGUGUAAGUAUAAAUAGUUAACUUUGAAACUGCGAAUGGCUCAUUAUAUCAGUUAUAGUUUAUUUGAUGAAGAAUACUAAUUGGAUAACCGUAGUAAUUCUAGAGCUAAUACAUGUAUAAAGUCUUGUAGACUGCAUUUAUUAGAAUGAAAACCAUAAGUUUCGGCCUAUUCGUGAGUAAUAAUAACUAAUCAUAUCGUAUGCUUAUGUAACGAUGUGUCUUUCAAGUUUCUGCCCUAUCAGCUUUCGAUGGUAGUGUAUUGGACUACCAUG